AUUGAACGCUGGCGGCAUGCCUUACACAUGCAAGUCGAACGGCAGCGGACCUUCGGGUGCCGGCGAGUGGCGAACGGGUGAGUAAUAUAUCGGAACGUACCUUUCAGUGGGGGAUAACGUAGCGAAAGUUACGCUAAUACCGCAUAUUCUGUGAGCAGGAAAGCAGGGGAUCGCAAGACCUUGCGCUGAUUGAGCGGCCGAUAUCAGAUUAGCUAGUUGGUGAGGUAAAGGCUCACCAAGGCGACGAUCUGUAGCGGGUCUGAGAGGAUGAUCCGCCACACUGGAACUGAGACACGGUCCAGACUCCUACGGGAGGCAGCAGUGAGGAAUAUUGGGCAAUGGGCGAAAGCCUGAUCCAGCCAUGCCGCGUGCAGGAAGACGGCCCUAUGGGUUGUAAACUGCUUUUAUAUGGGAAUAAACCUCCGAACGUGUUCGGAGCUGAAGGUACCAUACGAAUAAGGAUCGGCUAACUCCGUGCCAG
Molecule: ribosomal RNA, 481 nt
Filed under: uncultured bacterium
Lineage: Bacteria
Description: bacterial SSU rRNA
Rfam family: Bacterial small subunit ribosomal RNA
Source: RNAcentral